Hyla sarda is the source of this 498-nucleotide long non-coding RNA. RefSeq lists it as uncharacterized. The record is from RefSeq and is a predicted model, not a curated record. Lineage: Eukaryota; Metazoa; Chordata; Amphibia; Anura; Hylidae. The transcript has 2 exons.
GCAGCACUACUCAAAUAGAACUCCCAGGAGGUAACAGCGUGUCACACAUGUGAUGUCAUAACCAUUGUCCACCAGGGAGCAGCACUGAGCAGAAAUAACACGGCUCCUGCUCAUUGUUCAUCAGUCAGAGGCCGAUGCUGGACGCUGUACCCGGGAAUGGAGACUCAUACACAUGACUGUGACUGCCGAUGCAGUAUUUCCAGCAUGUGGAGUCGCAUUUCCGGACCUACAGCAAGAAGUUGGAUGAAGACAUAACCCCUGGAAUCACGCACAUACACAGACACUUUGCCCAAAUUCUAGAGGUAACCUCCUUUAGUAUGCCCAGAGGAAGGGCAGUACAGUAGCCAUGGAUUCCCUACAGGUUUCCUCCCCUCUGGAGGUUUUUCCUGUCCUGAGUAUUAGUUACUGUUCGCUCUUAGUGAGUGAUGGAGGUUACAUAAAAUCCCUACACAAACAUUGUAAGAAAUAAUAAAUAAAGUUCACCCUUUUUUAAACCAU